This 37494-nucleotide long non-coding RNA is filed under the name Hordeum vulgare. RNAcentral's name for it is "long non-coding RNA (HVUL_LNC005985)". The stretch from base 31012 to 31145 matches the Rfam family "MIR1120/MIR1122 microRNA precursor family". The record is from RNAcentral. Lineage: Eukaryota; Viridiplantae; Streptophyta; Magnoliopsida; Poales; Poaceae.
UUUCUCAAGCCGUCACGCGCUGCCGGCUGGGUCAACUUGCUGUUGACCGCGCCCUGUGCUCCCUCUCGUGUUGCAGGAGCUCCAACCAGGGCCCGGUGCUCAAGCUGCACCACGCCGCCACCGACUGACUCCGGGAAUGGUUGGACCCGUGCUCUCCUCACCCGUUCAGCCGAUGUGCCGACGAACCAACCAGCUGCAGCAGCAGGUCCCUAUGCCUCGCUCUUCUCUUCUUCUUCCUCCCCUGCUCUCCCCCUCUUUCUGAAUUUUUUUUCUCUGAACUUGUCUGAAUCAGAAGCUACAGGAGCCCCAUGGCUGCCGUCUCGUCACCGUGAACCUCACCGUCGGAGCCCUCCCAGCCAGCUCCGCACCCGACCGUUCCCCCCUAUCCAUUCCCGGCCUCCGAGUCCGCCAUCUUCGCCGAAGCAUCGCGCCGUCGGCCUCUGCAUCCCCGUUGUGAGCAGUCCUCCCGAUCUGAAUUCAGUCUCCUCUAGAUCCGUUCUGGCAAGGACAUGUUGUCUGUAGUGGGCACUGGUUCUGUCAACGAGUUGUAGGCUAGCUAAGUUGGCUAGCGUAGCCAACUGCUGUGAUGGAGGUCCCCGGUUCGACUCCCGUGCGCCCCAGAUUUUAUGUUUCAUUUUCUUUUGUUGUGCACCAGCUCAUAUUUUGUUCCCGUCUUGGUUAGUUGAUAUACAUUAACAGAGUUUAGUGCAGUGGCUAGCAACCUUAUUUUCAAAUGAGAGGUCUAGGGAUCAAAUCCCCAUCAGUGCAUAUUUUUUUUAUUUUUUUAGGAAUUUUGCCUCCAGCGCACCAGCUUCUGUCAUACUUGUGGAUUUGUUGUUUUGUCAAUUUUGACACAACCACUUAAUUAGUCUGGUGGUAGGGCUAUUACUGUCGAUCCAAGGGAUCUGGGGUUCAAAUCCUAGCAAUUCCAUUUUUUUUAUUUUGGACAGAUUCAAAUGCCCUUUUGUAAAAUUCGUAUAAAUUUAACCGUGCACCGGUUUAAAAUGAUUUGAACAUGUAAGUUGCUUAGAAUUUUCUGUAGUUUCACAAUAACCAUCUCCCAUGCAUAUUUAAAACUGUUAGGUGUGUUGUUUUGCUUCGGUUUGCAUGUCGACGUAAUGUAAACGGUUUGGGUCGUAACUAUUUAACCGUAUCUCUCUUGGAGAUGUGCCAUAUAUGUAAAUGGGCCAGAACAACGAGUAGAAACACGUGAACCACUUUGUUUUGCCGUUUAACAAACCUAAAAUGUGAUUAGGACAAAUCUGGACAGAAUUAAGAUUUAACACAUGGGGUCAUUUCGGAGAUGCUAUAUGUCGUUUCCGAUCUCAUUUAAAAUGUCUAGCUAGGUAGAUUAAUUUGUGCUUCACCCUCGUGCCAUGUUUAACAACAUUUAAUAUAUCUGUGUACCUGAACGGAGUGAACUAAAUAAUUAGACGCGGUGUUUCGUCGAUAUGCAACUCGUUGCAUAUCGAGCUUCACUUAAUGUGUAGUGUUUGGUUGUGGUGUUUGUCAUGCCUUGCAUUAGUCCGUUCAUGCAUCAUAUGUGUUGUGCAUAGUGUGGUGUAUAUCCUGUGUUGAUGCUUGUUUCCCUUUCCAUCCGUCUCGAUAGACUUCCGCAAGCGUGUCGGAAUGUGAGGACACGUUCGUCCACGUUGGUUCGUCUGCUUCACCGAGUUGUUCUUCUUCCAAGCGGGAUCUCAGGCAAGAUGAUCAUUUCCCCAGAUACCAUUACUAUCAUUGCCAUGCUAGUUUUAUCGCUUCUAUCGAUUAUGUCUCGUUGCCUACCACAUGUUAAAUAUGAGCCUCUCAACAAUGCCAUGAAAACCAUCAACCUGUUCAACCUAGCAAACCAAUGAUUGGCUAUGUUACUGCUGCUUAACCCUGUUGUUAGCGUUGUUAGUUGCAGGUGCAGAUGUUUCCAUGNNNNNNNNNNNNNNNNNNNNNNNNNNNNNNNNNNNNNNNNNNNNNNNNNNNNNNNNNNNNNNNNNNNNNNNNNNNNNNNNNNNNNNNNNNNNNNNNNNNNGCGGUACUACCGCUGGCACCAGCGGUACUACCGCUGGGGACCAUUUUGCGGAGAUGCUCAAGACGAAUAGGCGAGGGCCGCUCCAAAAGAUAAGGAAAGGGAGAAUGCAAAGUGUGCGUGUGUAAAGAUAGAUUCCACCCAAACCUUUCCGCUACGGAUCCCCUCUUAAUAGUACGGCUUUCCUAUGACUCAAAUAAAGAGAAUCGUAGAGAGCGCCGUGCUUCUGUUCCAGAAGAGAGGAGACGAGUCGUCUUGUGCCGUUGACGAGUGUUACCUGAAACCUUGACAAACAUGAUUAGUACUGUACGGUACUGUCAUCAAUCACCAAAAUUACUUAGGCAUAAACUAUGCCUCAACAAUCUCCCCCUUUUUGGUGGAUUGAUGACAAUACCGGAUUUGCACAGAUAAUAAUAUGAGAAUAAAAAGAUAGAGAUAUAUGACAUAUGACUCACAACAUAUGAUGGAAAUAAAUCUAAUCUCACAUAAGAAAGAUCAUGUCUCACACAAGAUAGCAAACGAAUCAAACCAAGUUCAAAGCAAACCAUACGAGAUAAAGCAAAGCAAUGCAAAGUUCGAAAUGAAAGCAAAUCCUAGACUCUCUCCCCCUUUGGCACAAGACACCAAAAAGGGGCACCCCUAAUGCCACAGGUAGCUACUCCUCAUCUUCAGGAUCACCAGACUCGUCUGUCCCCUCCUGGUCGGUCUGCUCCUCCUCUUGCGCCUCAUCGCCCGACCACUGGUACCCCUGAGCCUGCAUCCAAGUGGCCUCAAGCGUGAUGUCGUCCUCUGAGCCGCUGGAGAUGUCCACAUCCAAGGUCCUGAGAACAUGCUUAUGCCUCUGGCGGCUCUGCUUCUGAGCCACGUGUGUCUGAUACUGACCCUUGGCCUGCAUACAGAAAAGUGUCUUCAUCUUGUCCUGCAGUUUGAUAGCCCAAGAUGGCAUGGCAGACGAGCGGGGCUGAGAGGCAGGUCCUCUGCCAGUAGCGGUCUCUGUAUCAGUGUCCAUGUGCUGAGAAGAUGAAGAUGGGUUGGCCCACUUGUCCUUGACGCGCAGCUUGAUUGGGUCAUGCACAAUGUAAUCAGACUGUGCGUAGAGCACCUCAUCCGGAAACGCCUGUUGCCACUUAUGGCUGAUGUAUGCGAACAGGUAAGGCCCGUAGAUAGGAACCUUACGGUUGAUGAUGCAGUUCCAGAGCUCUGUGAACAUCACAUCUGCAAUAUCCAGUGGAGCAGAUUUCUGAGACAUAGCCUCCUCACAAAGUAACAGCAUCUCAGCCAAGUAGCCAUGGACCUCAUCGAAGUUACCACUCUGAGGGAAGAGGGUGUUGCGAAAGAUGCGAUGCAUGAUGUCCAGGUGCUUGGAAAGCACCCCCUUCCUCAGAUACAGUGACUGCAGUCUGUCCUUUGCGAGGGCCCUAUCAGUGGGGGCUGGAGCGUGAGGACGCAGCCCAAGAGGAGUGUCAGCACCCUGAAAGUCAUUGUGAAGGAACUGCAUGAACUCUGCCCAGGAACCGGUCAUCUUCUUUGACCCAGUCAUCCAUAUCAUGGAGCGCUGUUCAUCAUGGGAGAAAUGGACUAUGACAUAAAACUGAGCAACUGCCGUGGGAUCAAAAUCCGUCUUGAAGGAGAUGAUGUUUUUGAUGCCCAGCUUGUCAAUCAAAGCGAGGGCAUCACCAAAGUACUCUGUGUUCCGCUGAAGAUGUGCCAGAUCAAUCCACUGGACAGAGACAAAGUUCUUCUUGAAGUUGGCAAUAACAUCCCGAUAGAUCCUGCAAUGGUCCCUUACCCAGACAUGGUCAACACCAUCGAUCUCAUCCCUCUCCUGGAGAUAGUGGUUCUUGGUGCGAAAUUGCAGAAAGUCCUUGGGGGACAUUGUACGGACAUUCACCCUCUUAUGAGCGACCUUCUUGAAGAACUUCUUCUUGGGAGGCAGGCCAGACGUGGCAGACCCCUCGGGCGCCUCUGGGUUGCGAAACUGUUUGGAUUGCGUUUCCCGUAGGGGGUUCGAACGGCGAGCAGAGCCACCUGUGACACAGACCACAAAGCAAAAAAAAGAGGCGACAAGAAGAGUCAAGGCAAUGAAUCUUGAAAACGUGAAACAAGUAAACACGCAUUGCUAAGCAAAAACAAGCAGAAAAUACACUGUGAAUGCUCUGGCGGUAGUACCGCCACCCCUGGCGGUAGUACCGCUGGGGUCCUAGCGAUAGUACCGCUACCCCUGGCGGUAGUACCGCCACCCCUGGCGGUAGUACCGCUGGGGUCCUAGCGAUAGUACCGCCACCCCUGGCGGUAGUACCGCUGGGGUCCUAGCGAUAGUACCGCCACCCCUGGCGGUAGUACCGCUGGGGUCCUAGCGAUAGUACCGCCACCCCUGGCGGUAGUACCGCNNNNNNNNNNNNNNNNNNNNNNNNNNNNNNNNNNNNNNNNNNNNNNNCCCUGGCGGUAGUACCGCUGGGGUCCUAGCGAUAGUACCGCUACCCCUGGCGGUAGUACCGCCAGCCCUGGCGGUAGUACCGCUGGGGUCCUAGCGAUAGUACCGCUACCCCUGGCGGUAGUACCGCUGGGGGUUUGACUUUCAGAUCUGACAAAUAAUACUCGUUUUCGAGGGCAUGGGCUGAAUAUGAACACUAAGACGUACACCCCAGCCCUACUGUCAUGAGGAACACAUAACAUUAAGAGAUACAAACAUGCCUAGGCAAGAGAGAGCACGUUUUAGAUCUAAUCCAAAAAUUCAAGUGAUCGAUCUAAGACGAAUGAAUCCUAGGACAUGGCAGCAAACACAACAACAAAUCAUCGGAUCUAUACCCCCCUCAAAUAUUUCCUCCAUGCCAUCCAAGAACUAGCCAUAGGAUCAAAAAUAUGAGUCCAAUCCCCAAUGCUCCUACCCCUAGAACACGAGUAAUCAAAGAGAAGAAGGGAGGAGCCUUUUUUACCGGGAUUCAUGGCUUUGGAGGAGGAAGAAGAAGUGAAGCAGCCCUUCCACAGCAACGGGGAGAAGGAGCUCCACGAAGAGAGAUCCAAUCGGGGGGUUUUCGGGCUAGGGGAGGGAGGAGCCGCGAGGAAGAAGAAACAGAUGAAAAAACGGGCUCCCCCUCCCUUUAUAUAGCCCAAGGGGUACGGGCAGCGGUAGUACCGCUGGGGUGCAGCGGUAGUACCGCUGGGGUGCAGCGAUAGUACCGCUGGGAUCCUGGCGGUAGUACCGCUCCCCUGGCGGUAGUACCGCUCCCCCUCGAAACCCUAGAAAUAUCCCAGCCGAUCGUGUUAGAUUUUGAAUCCUGGCGGUAGUACCGCUACAACUGGCGGUAGUACCGCUUGGGUCCUGGCGGUAGUACCGCUAUCCCUGGCGGUAGUACCGCUCCCUUUGGCGGUAGUACCGCUGUACAUGUUUCAACACGGCUAGGAAAAUGGGAAACUUGGGCACAUGACAAGUGAGUAAAAAGGGACGACUUCCAAGAAAAUGUACUGACUUGUCAUUGUAUAUCCUGUCCUUUAUACGCAAGAGAGGAUGGAGGGGCGGUGGCCGUGGCCACCUAUGUUUGAGACAAUGGCAUGACACCGCGAAGAAUUAUCUUUGGGUUCAUGACCAAUGCUCGUCUUUGAAGCACAAGUACCAUUUGACAAUGGCUAAAGUGAAAGACUAGAUUGAUUUACGCAUAAUGGGGGAAGGGAGAGUUCAUUGAGAGAACAACACUCCUCCUAUGUCCAUGGCUACAUCUAGACCAAGAUGGAAUGUGAAGUGAGGUGCAAUAUGCCUAGUUUCAAUCCACAUUACUUGAAUCAAUGAUAUUUAGCUCAUGCCUUAACUCCCGGAACCUUGCUUCAUCUAGUGGCUUGGUGAAAAUAUCUGCAAGUUGCUCUUCAGUGUGGAUGAAGUGAACCUCAAUAUCACCUAGCUUGAUAUGUUCACGGAUGAAGUGAUGACGAAUAUCAAUAUGUUUGGUUUUGCUAUGUUGCACUGGGUUGAGGGAAAUCUUGAUGGCGCUUUGAUUGUCACAUAGAAGAGGCAUUUUGUCACAAGUGACACCAUAAUCCCUUAAAGUUUGCCUCAUCCAUAGCAAUUGAGCACAACAACUUGCAGCCGCCACAUACUCAGCCUCGGUGGAUGAUAAGGAGACGCAGUUCUGCUUCUUUGAAGACCAACUUACCAAAGAGCGACCAAGGAAUUGGCAUCCUCCAGACGUUGACUUCCUCUCCACACAAUCUCCAGCCCAAUCUGAGUCAGAAUAGCCAACUAGAUUGAAGUUUGCUCCUUUGGGAUACCAGAGACCAAAGUUUGGGGUAUGAGCCAAAUAUCGAAAGAUUCGUUUGACAGCCAUGUAAUGACUUUCUUUUGGUGCGGAUUGAAACCGUGCACAUAUCCCUACACUCAACAUAAUAUCUGGUCUAGAUGCACAAAGGUAAAGGAGGGAUCCAAUCAUGGAGCGGUAUACCUUUUGAUCCACUGCUUUACCAUUGGGAUCACUGUCAAGCUUGCAUCUGGUUGGCAUGGGGAACUUGACCGGUUUGACAUCUUCGAGCUCGAACCGUUUGAGCAUGUCUUGAGUGUACUUGGCUUGUUUGAUGAAUGUCCCUUCUAGACCUUGUUUAAUCUCGAAUCCGAGGAAAAACUUCAACUCUCCCAUCAUGGACAUCUCAAACUUCUCAGUCAUUAGCGCAGCAAAUUCUUCAUUGAAUGAAAUGUUAGGAGAGCCAAAGAUAAUAUCAUCAACAUAUAGUUGGCAUAUGAACAAAUCCCCUUUAACCCUCUUAGUAAAAAGAGUGGGAUCAAUCUUACCAAUUUCAAACCCACGAUCUUGUAACAACUCAGUAAGGUACUCAUACCACGCAUGUGGGGCUUGUUUAAGGCCAUAGAGUGCCUUAUUGAGUUUGUACACAUGAUUGGGGAGCUUGGGAUGUUCGAAUCCCGGGGGUUGUUUGACAUAUACCAACUCAUUUAAAGGACCAUUAAGAAAUGCACAUUUCACAUCCAUUUGCUGUAAUUUGAAGUUAUGAUGAGAAGCAAAAGCAAGUAGCAUGCGAAUAGAUUCUAGACGAGCAACAGGGGCAAAGGUUUCACCGUAGUCGAUACCCUCGACUUGGGAGUAGCCUUGAGCCACCAAUCUUGCCUUGUUUCGAAUCACAAUUCCAUUUGCAUCUUGCUUGUUCUUAAAUAUCCAUUUGGUCCCAAUGACAUUAUGUUCCUUCGUUGGUCGUGGCACUAAAUCCCAGACUUGGUUGCGCUCGAAGUUGUUAAGUUCUUCGUGCAUGGCCAUAAGCCAAUCCUCAUCAUCGAGCGCUUCCUGUACCUGUUGAGGUUCACAAUACGAAACAAACGCGUGAUGCUCACAAUAAUUCCAAAGCUGUUGACGGGUAGAUACUCCCCUUUUUAAACUACCAAGAACAUUCUUCAUAAGAUGUGACUUGGCUUUCAGCUUGUUCGCAUUCUUGGCUGCUCGACGCUCCAAGAGUUCUUCAUUAGAUAACGGGGGAGCAUCGACUUGUAUCUUUUGUUUGCCCUUGCGUCUUGAGCCGGUUGUUGGAGCUCCAGACGGGAAUUGUGAGACAGUCUCCUGAUCACUUUGUCCUUCGACUUGAGCAGGUUCACUAGUUUGAUCUUGUAUUAGUGGUUUCUCUUGAUCUUGAUCUCGUGCUGGUUCAGGGUCUGGUAGUGCUUGAGUGGGCAUAUCACCAUUGUUAGGCAAUUGAUCUUGACCGAGAGCUUGAUCAGCUUGUUGAGAGUCUUCUCUUUGUUCAUCGAAAGCGUGUGGGGCUUGUGGGGGUGAUGGCUCCACUUGAGUAGAGUAUUGUCCUUCUCCUUUGGCCACAAGGGGUUCCUCAAUGGGGAGUAUUUGACCAAUCCCCAUUCUUCUUAUGGCUUCGGGAGGAAUUUCAUCACCUAUAUCACAAAGACCACUUUGCUCCACUUGGGAGCCAUUAUUUUCGUCAAACUCUACGUUACACGUCUCCUCAAUUAGUCCGGUGGACUUGUUGAGGACACGGUAAGCAUGAGAGUUUGUAGCAUAACCAACAAAGAUACCCUCAUGUACUCUAGAAUCAAAUUUAGCUAACCGAGCUCCCUUUUUAAGAAUGAAACACUUACAACCGAAUACCCGGAAGUACUUGAGAUUGGGUUUGUUUCCAGUUAGAAUCUCAUACGGAGUCUUGUUCAAGCCUUUGCGGAUGUAGAGCCGAUUGGACGCAUGACAUGCUGUGUUGAUGGCCUCUGCCCAGAAGUUGUAUGGAGAUUUGAAUUCUGCCAUCAUUGUUCUUGCAGCGUCUAUCAAGGUCCGGUUCUUCCUUUCUGCCACGCCGUUUUGCUGAGGGGUAUAUGGUGCAGAAUAUUGGUGCUUUAUUCCCUCAUCACCUAGAAACUCAUCUAGGGUGUAGUUCUUGAACUCGGUGCCGUUGUCACUCCUAAUCAUCAAGAUCUUCGCUUCAUGUUGACGUUGCGCUUCAUUGGCAAAGUUGAUGACCGUUUGUUGAGUUUCACUCUUCCUUUUGAAGAAAUAUACCCAGGUAUAUCUUGAGUAAUCGUCAACAAUGACUAAGCAAUACUUUCUGCCUCCAAGACUAUCAAAUGUAGGAGGACCAAACAGAUCCAUGUGGAGAAGUUCCAAUGGCCUCUUAGUGUAGAUAAGAGUCAUUGGACGAUGAGCAGUUUCAUGAAUAUUUCCUUCAAUGCAAGCACUGCAAACACGAUCUUUAGCAAAGCUCACAUUUGUUAGUCCACGAACAUGGUCCCCUGUCAGAAGACUUUGCAAAGAUCUCAUAUUGACAUGAGCUAAACGGCGAUGCCACAGCCAGCCCACGUCAACUUUAGCCAUUAAACAUGUCGCAGUCUUAGUGGGUCGCUUUGAAAAGUUUACCACAUAGAGACCAUUUUCGACAUGUCCAACAUAGGCUACUUUAAGAGUCUUGCUCCUUAGGAGGACCACAGUGUCAAUAUUAAAGAAUGUGGAAAAACCCAUGAUUGCAAGUUGACGAACGGAAAGUAAAUUGUAGGCAAGAGACUCAACAAGCAUGACCUUCUCAAUAGACAAAUCUUGAGAGACGAUCACCUUACCAAAUCCCAAUACCUUUGACGAGGAUGCAUCGGCGAAUUGGACAUGGGUGGGCAUAGAUGGAGAAGGAUGCACAUCCACCACUAAGUCCUUGCUUUCGGUCAUAUGAUUUGUUGCUCCACUAUCGAGCAACCAUGACACCCCACCGGAAGCAAACUCCUGCAAUAGAUCAAGGCUUGGUUUUAGGUACCCAUAUUUUAAUGGGUCCUUUCAUGUUAGAGACAAGGGUCUUAGGAACCCAGAUAGCCCAUUCAAUAUCUUCAUCGUAGGAACCAACAAAUCUGGCAUAAACAUGCCCAUCACUAGCACACCGUAACACAUAAGAGGAAUUGAGUUUGCCAGCUGUGUUAGUAGGAGCGGUUUUGCCCUUCUUGGGGUUCCCAUAGUCCACCUUGUUCCUGUUCACCUUCUGAGUCCCCUCAUCCUCCUUGACAAAGAUGUCCAUGAGGGUGAGGGAUCGUUUGUUCUUGUUCUUCCUUUUACCUUGUGACUUGGAGGUAAGUCCAAGUCCUUCCUUUCCUACAACACCCUUUUGAGUGCUCAAGAGAUCGUUCAGACUCUUCUCACCUUGUCUGCAUGACACAAGGCCCUUCUCAAGUUUCUCCUUUAACUUGGCAUUUUCCUCCACAAGAUGAACAUGCUCACAACAGGGGUUAGUUGCACAAGUAUUAUCAAUUAACACAAAGGGAGGACAAGUAGAGAUCUCCUUGGUAAGCUUUGCUUGGAGUUGAUCAUGAGACUCUUUCAGAGUGAAAUGAACACCUUUCAAGGCUUUGUGGGCCUUGUCAAGUAUGUCAAACUCUUCUUUGAGUCUGUCACGGCCAACCUCAAGAGCAUACUUUUCAGAUUUAAGCAUGCGAGUAAGAACAACAUCAUGAUCUAGUUUCUUUUGCAUUUUAGUGCAGUCAUCGUUAUAUGACUCCUCAAGAGCCAAACGAAGAGUGCGCUCUUCUUCUAGAGUACUAGAUAAUUCGGCAAUUUCAUCGGCAUAGUCACGGCUAUGUCCAUGAAGCUCGGAGAUGGUCUCCUCAUGAGACUCAAUGAGGUCAGUGGCCUCACCCAGUUGUUCCAAGAGAGCAACAAAAUGCUUCUUGGUUUCUCCCUUAAUAGUGCAUAAAAACUUAUCAAGAUCAUGCUCAUUAAGUUCUCCAACAUCACUAUCUUCUACACAAUUUAACAAUGAAGGAGCAGAAGCAAUGUUGGUCUUAAUGAUAGGAGUUACCUGAUUGGUACCUUUUGCCAUGAGGCACUUGGUGAUGUGGUUCUCGCUGGGGGCGUUGAAGAGAGACACCUUCUGGGAAGGGGUAGUGGCUACAGCAACAGUUGCCGUUGCCACUGUAUCAUCAGGGAUCAGAAGGAUACUCCUCGAGGGCCACCAUUCCUUUUGGGUGAGGUUUCUUCACAAAGUUGUUCUUGAUUGGAAAUGAUUUGGUUUUGUCUUUGCGAAUGAGCUUGCUUCCGUUGUCUUCUCUCUUCUCAUAGGGGCAUUCUGCCAUGAAGUGACUCACGUUGCCACAGUUAUAACAUGUCCUUACUCGUUGUUUGGGUUUGAAUCCACUUGAGUUGUUCUUGUUGAAGGUUGGUCUUGAGUUCCUUUUAUUUCCCCAGAAUUGCCUUGAUGCAAGAGCCAUGUGCUCAUGAUAGGCAUACUUUGUGUCUUUCGGGCAGCUCUCCUCUGGGGGGUUCUUCUUCAAGCAUUGCUCUUGCUUUUAACGCAAGUUUGGGUGAAGUGGUUUUUGAUCGGACACGAGCAAGUGCAUUGUCGGCUGUUUCGUUCAUGAUUGACAUAGCAAUGAACUCAUCCAACACUUCACUGGAAGACAAGGAGUGGAAGUCUGGCCGCUGACGAAUGACAGAUGACAUGGCUUUGUUGAAAGGCAUGAUGGCUUUGAGAAACUUGCGCUUGACCCAAGUGUCAUCCACAUCCUUACUCCCAUGGUCCUUUAGUGCCACAGCAAUAGCAGUCACCCUCCGAUAGAGAUCACGAGGGUCAUCUUCUUCCUUCAUCACAAACUCAUCGGCCUGAUCAAGUAUCACUUCAUAGUUGGAUCGUUGAAUACCUGAGCUUCCCUUAUACAACACCAUAAUAUGCUCCCAACAAUCCUUGGCCAAUGUGAAGGGACGUAAGUGGGGAAGAUCUUUAGGUGGCACAGCAGACUGGAGAAUAAACAGCGCAGAGUGAUUAUAUUGAUUGUCUGCACCUUCUCUUGGAGUGAGGUUGCUUGGGUCAUGGGGGUAAUAUCCUUGCUCGAUAAUUCUCCACAAGUUUGUUGAGCUGUGAUUCAAAUGAGACUUAAUAGAAAAUACCCAGUUAGCAAAGUCACCUUUUACAAGUUUAGGAGGAGGACCAACAGGAUUAAGACGAGGUGCGAGAACGGGUCCUCCAUAAGUCAUGGGAGGUGGAACCGAAGCAUAUGUUCCAGUCCCAUCUUUUUCGUGAGGUGAAGCAGGUUGCAUACCUUUAGCCGCUUCCUUAGAGGAGUUGGCCUCCGAAUCGGAAAUGGUGGGUUUAACCACUAAAGCCGGUUCAGGUGAACUUUUAAGACCAUCAAUUAAUUCUUUAAGCAUGGUUUUGACUUCGCUCGUCAAGGACGUCCUGAGGGCGGCCAUAGCCGUAUUCAAGUCGUCCCUUGUGACCGAAGUCAAGUCCAUGUCCUCGGGUUGCCCACGGUUAACUUCCUCUCCGCCUUCCAUACUCUUCGGGUGGUUAAACCCUUAAUAAAGAGACGUGGCUCUGAUACCAAUUGAAAGGAUCGAUAUGGUUGGCUAGAGGGGGGGUGAAUAGACAACGACCACUUUUUAAUUAAUCUUAACAAGUUAAGGUAAACACUAUACGGGUUCACAAAUAAUAUGACAAAGAGGUGACCCCUAUAGAAGCUACCAACAAGACCUAUUAAGACAAGUAAGAUAUAGUCACAAGUAAAAGCAAAUACAAAGUAAAGGUUAGAGAUAACCCCAAGUGGAACCAAUGGAGACGAGGAUGUGUUACCGAAGUUCCUUCCCUUUGACAGGAAGUACGUCUCCGUUGGAGCGGUGUGGAGGCACAAUGCUCCCCAAAAAGCCACUAAGGCCACCGUAUUCUCCUCACGCCCUCGCACGAUGCAAGGUACCGUGAUUCCACUAUAGGUGCCCUUGAAGGCGGCGACCGAACCUUUACAAACAAGGUUGGGGCAACUCCACACAAAGCUUGGAGGCUCCCAACAAGACCACAAAGCUUCACCACAAUGGAAUAUGGCUUNNNNNNNNNNNNNNNNNNNNNNNNNNNNNNNNNNNNNNNNNNNNNNNNNNNNNNNNNNNNNNNNNNNNNNNNNNNNNNNNNNNNNNNNNNNNNNNNNNNNGCCUCUAGUUGGCUAGCCAGUUGAUCGAAGAUAGUCAGUGUCUUCUGAUUAUGAACAAGGUGUUGUUGCUUGAUAACUGGAUCACGUCAUUGGGAGAAUCACGUGAUGGACUAGACCCAAACUAAUAGACGUAGCAUGUUGAUCGUGUCAUUUUGUUGCUACUGUUUUCUGCGUGUCAAGUAUUUAUUCCUAUGACCAUGAGAUCAUAUAACUCACUGACACCGGAGGAAUACUUUGUGUGUAUCAAACGUCGCAACGUAACUGGGUGACUAUAAAGAUGCUCUACAGGUAUCUCCGAAGGUGUUAGUUGAGUUAGUAUGGAUCAAGACUGGGAUUUGUCACUCCGUGUGACGGAGAGGUAUCUCGGGGCCCACUCGGUAAUACAACAUCACACACAAGCCUUGCAAGCAAUGUGACUUAGUGUAAGUUACGGGAUCUUGUAUUACGGAACGAGUAAAGAGACUUGCCGUAAACGAGAUUGAAAUAGGUAUGCGGAUACUGACGAUCGAAUCUCGGGCAAGUAACAUACCGAAGGACAAAGGGAAUGACAUACGGGAUUAUAUGAAUCCUUGGCACUGAGGUUCAAACGAUAAGAUCUUCGUAGAAUAUGUAGGAUCCAAUAUGGGCAUCCAGGUCCCGCUAUUGGAUAUUGACCGAGGAGUCUCUCGGGUAAUGUCUACAUAGUUCUCGAACCCGCAGGGUCUGCACACUUAAGGUUCGACGUUGUUUUAUGCGUAUUUGAGUUAUAUGGUUGGUUACCGAAUGUUGUUCCGAGUCCCGGAUGAGAUCACGGACGUCAUGAGGGUUUCCGGAAUGGUCCGGAAACGAAGAUUGGUAUAUAGGAUGACCUCAUUUGAUUACCGGAAGGUUUUCGGAGUUACCGGGAAUGUACCGGGAAUGACGAAUGGGUUCCGGGAGUUCACCGGGGGGGGGGGGGGGGAGAGUCNGACCUUCCCCCCUUGGCUCGGCCGACCCCCUUGGGGAUCCUUGAGCCCCAAGGCAAGGUCCCCCCUCUCCCACCUAUAUAUACGGAGGUUUUAGGGCUGAUUUGAGACGACUUUUCCACGGCAGCCCGACCANUUCCUAUGACCAUGAGAUCAUAUAACUCACUAACACCGGAGGAAUACUUUGUGUGUAUCAAACGUCGCAACGUAACUGGGUGACUAUAAAGAUGCUCUACAGGUAUCUCCGAAGGUGUUAGUUGAGUUAGUAUGGAUCAAGACUGGGAUUUGUCACUCCGUGUGACUGAGAGGUAUCUCGGGGCCCACUCGGUAAUACAACAUCACACACAAGCCUUGCAAGCAAUGUGACUUAGUGUAAGUUACGGGAUCUUGUAUUACGGAACGAGUAAAGAGACUUGCCGGUAAACGAGAUUGAAAUAGGUAUGCGGAUACUGACGAUCGAAUCUCGGGCAAGUAUCAUACCGAAGGACAAAGGGAAUGACAUACGGGAUUAUAUGAAUCCUUGGCACUGAGGUUCAAACGAUAAGAUCUUCGUAGAAUAUGUAGGAUCCAAUAUGUGCAUCCAGGUCCCGCUAUUGGAUAUUGACCGAGGAGUCUCUCGGGUCAUGUCUACAUAGCUCUCGAACCCGCACGGUCUGCACACUUAAGGUUCGACGUUGUUUUAUGUGUAUUUGAGUUAUAUGGUUGGUUACCGAAUGUUGUUCAGAGUCCCGGAUGAGAUCACGGACGUCACGAGGGUUUCCGGAAUGGUCCGGAAACGAAGAUUGAUAUAUAGGAUGACCUCAUUUUAUUACCGGAAGGUUUUCGGAGUUACCGGGAAUGUACCGGGAAUGACGAAUGGGUUCCGGAAGUUCACCGGGGGGGCAACCCACCCCGGGGAAGCCCAUAGGCCUUGAGGGUGGCGCACCAGCCCUUAGUGGGCUGGUGGGACAGCCCAAAAGGGCCCUACGCGCAUUGGAAGAAAAAUCAAAGAGAAAAGAAAAAAAAGGAGGAGGUGGGAAGGGAAGGAAGGACUCCCACCCACCAAACCAAGUCCAACUCGGUUUGGGGGGGAGACCUUCCCCCCUUGGCUCGGCCGACCCCCUUGGGGCUCCUUGAGCCCCAAGGCAAGGUCACCCCUCUCCCACCUAUAUAUACGGAGGUUUUAGGGCUGAUUUGAGACGACUUUUCCACGGCAGCCCGACCACAUACCUCCACGGUUUUUCCUCUAGAUCGCGUUUCUGCGGAGCUCGGGCGGAGCCCUGCUGAGACAAGGUCAUCACCGACCUCCGGAGCGCCGUCACGCUGCCGGAGAACUCUUCUACCUCUUCGUCUCUCUUGCUGGAUCAAGAAGGCCGAGAUCAUCGUCGAGCUGUACGUGUGCUGAACGCGGAGGUGUCGUCCGUUCGGUACUAGAUCGUGGGACUGAUCGCGGGAUUGUUCGCGGGGCGGAUCGAGGGACGUGAGGACGUUCCACUACAUCAACCACGUUCACUAACGCUUCUGCUGUACGGUCUACAAGGGUACGUAGAUCACUCAUCCCCUCUCGUAGAUGGACAUCACCAUGAUAGGUCUUCGUGCGCGUAGGAAAUUUUUUGUUUCCCAUGCGACGUUCCCCGACAGAUAACUAGAUCGGCACAAAAUUUGUUGCUUUUUUCCUCGGUGAAUCAUGUGCCAUCUUUCUCGUUGGACGGGUGGUUGUCGUCGCUUUUGGUUCCAUGAUGCUACUAGGAAGAGGUGUUGGCUGUUGGAACUGCUUGGGACAUAUUUUUGCCUAUAUUUCCGGUGACACCACGUUUUCGCCCCAUGGUCCGUUAUCCUGGAUGACACGUGCAUAAAGUGGGUUUCUUGAUGUUACUCCCAACUCUUUUCUUUUCUUAACCUAGCUUUUUGUCUUAGUUAUUUAAGACAAUGUAUUUUCUUUAUGAAAGUAAUGAAAAGGGGAAAGGCCGGUUCAAAGAAAAAACAUGUUCAUUUAGUGGUCAUUCAUGAAUCGUGAAUAGGACUGGUCUCGAAACGAUAGAAAUGCUAUCCGUGCUUAAUGAUAGUGUGAUGUACUCCCUCGUUUCUAAAUAUAAGUUUUUUUAAAGAUUUCUCUGACAGAAUACAUACGGAGCAAAAUAAAUGAAUUUAUAUUUNAUAUUUUAAAUAUAUUUAUAUACAUCUGUAUAUAGUUCGUAAUGAAAUCUCUGAAAAGACUUAUAUUUAUAAACGGAGGGAGUAACAAAAAAUACAUGUAGAAAAUCAAAAUGUGUGAUCCCUAGUCAGAUUUUAGAAGUAAUGCUACAUGUACAAAGGUUUACAUAUAAACUCACGUGAAGGAUUGUGAUUGGUAAUAAGGGAUGAGUGGCUCCACCUCACUGAAAAUCAGGACAGGGGGAGGGGGGGGGGAAUUAGUUUGAAUGGUUAAGUAACUUUUGUAAGUCUUUGUAGGUCUAACAUUAUUGCAGAUUUUAGUCCAUAUUUCAAGGAAACUGGAAUCUGACUAGGGAUCACACAUGUAGGAAGAAAAAAGGUCCAUUUCUAGGAUGCAAGACCAUUUUCAGUAAUCGAUCGCAAAGGAAAUUAGAGCAUUUUCAAUAGACGGUCCAAAUGAAAAAAAAAUACUUAAAUUUUGGACCGUAUGAGGCAAAAAGCGAUUCUUCAGCAGACGGUCCAUAUGUAAAAAAAAUUGGACCGCGGCCUCCUCGUGAUGUAAAACGGAACACCUCGCAGUGCAAAUUUACAUCACGAGGUGCGUCUGGUNNNNNNNNNNNNNNNNNNNNNNNNNNNNNNNNNNNNNNNNNNNNNNNNNNNNNNNNNNNNNNNNNNNNNNNNNNNNNNNNNNNNNNNNNNNNNNNNNNNNGAUAGUCAGUGUCUUCUGAUUAUGAACAAGGUGUUGUUGCUUGAUAACUGGAUCACGUCAUUGGGAGAAUCACGUGAUGGACUAGACCCAAACUAAUAGACGUAGCAUGUUGAUCGUGUCAUUUUGUUGCUACUGUUUUCUGCGUGUCAAGUAUUUAUUCCUAUGACCAUGAGAUCAUAUAACUCACUGACACCGGAGGAAUGCUUUGUGUGUAUCAAACGUCGCAACGUAACUGGGUGACUAUAAAGAUGCUCUACAGGUAUCUCCGAAGGUGUUAGUUGAGUUAGUAUGGAUCAAGACUGGGAUUUGUCACUCCGUGUGACGGAGAGGUAUCUCGGGGCCCACUCGGUAAUACAACAUCACACACAAGCCUUGCAAGCAAUGUAACUUAGUGUAAGUUGCGGGAUCUUGUAUUACGGAACGAGUAAAGAGACUUGCCGGUAAACGAGAUUGAAAUAGGUAUGCGGAUACUGACGAUCGAAUCUCGGGCAAGUAACAUACCGAAGGACAAAGGGAAUGACAUACGGGAUUAUACGAAUCCUUGGCACUGAGGUUCAAACGAUAAGAUCUUCGUAGAAUAUGUAGGAUCCAAUAUGGGCAUCCAGGUCCCGCUAUUGGAUAUUGACCGAGGAGUCUCUCGGGUCAUGUCUACAUAGUUCUCGAACCCGCAGGGUCUGCACACUUAAGGUUCGACGUUGUUUUAUGCGUAUUUGAGUUAUAUGGUUGGUUACCGAAUGUUGUUCGGAGUCCCGGAUGAGAUCACGGACGUCACGAGGGUUUCCGGAAUGGUCCGGAAACGAAGAUUGAUAUAUAGGAUGACCUCAUUUGAUUACCGGAAAGGUUUUCGGAGUUACCGGGAAUGUACCGGGAAUGACGAAUGGGUUCCGGGGGUUCACCGGAGGGGGGCAACCCACUCCGGGGAAGCCCAUAGGUAUUUGGGGGGGUCACACCAGCCCUUAGUGGGCUGGUGGGACAGCCCACCAAAUCCUAUGCGCCAAGGAAGAAAAAUCAAAGAAAGAAAAAAAAGGAGGGGAAGUGGGAAGGGGGAAGGACUCCCUCCCACCAAACCAAGUAGGACUCGGUUUGGGGGGGGGAGAGUCCUCCCCCCUGGCUCGGCCGACCCCUUGGGGUUCCCUUGGACCCCAAGGCAAGGUCCCCCUCCCUCCUCCUAUAUAUAUGGGGCUUUUAGGGCAGAUUUGAGACGACUUUCUCACGGCUGCCCGACCACAUACCUCCAUAGUUUUUCCUCUAGAUCGUGUUUCUGCGGAGCUCGGGCGGAGCCCUGCUGAGACAAGAUCAUCACCAACCUCCGGAGCACCGUCACGCUGCCGGAGAACUCUUCUACCUCUCCAUCUCUCUUGCUGGAUCAAGAAGGCCGAGAUCAUCGUCGAGCUGUACGUGUGCUGAACGCGGAGGUGCCGUCCGUUCGGUACUAGAUCGUGGGACUGAUCGCGCGAUUGUUCGCGGGGCGGAUCGAGGGACGUGAGGACGUUCCACUACAUCAACCGCGAUCUCUAAUCGCUUCUGCUGUACGAUCUACAAGGGUACGUAGAUCACUCAUCCCCUCUCGUAGAUGGACAUCACCAUGAUAGGUCUUCGUGCGCGUAGGAAAAUUUUUGUUUCCCAUGCGACGUUCCCCAACAGUGGCAUCAUGAGCUAGGUUCAUGCGUAGAUGUCUUCUCGAGUAGAACACAAAAGGUUUUGUGGGCGGUGAUGUGCGUUUUGCUGCCCUCCUUAGUCUUUUCUUGAUUCCGCGGUAUUGUUGGAUUGAAGCGGCUUGGACCGACAUUACUCGUACGCUUACGAGAGACUGGUUUCAUCGUUACGAGUAACCCCCUUUGCUCAAAGAUGACUGGCAAGUGACGGUUUCUCCAACUUUAGUUGAAUCGGAUUUGACCGAGGAGGUCCUUGGAUGAGGUUAAAUAGCAACUCAUAUAUCUCCGUUGUGGUGUUUGCGUAAGUAAGAUGCGAUCCUACUAGAUACCCUUGGUCACCACGUAAAACAUGCAACAACAAAAUUAGAGGACGUCUAACUUGUUUUUGCAGGGUAUGAUUGUGAUGUGAUAUGGCCAAUGAUGUGAUGUGAUAUAUUGGAUGUAUGAGAUGAUCAUGUUGUAAUAGAAAUAUCGACUUGCACGUCGAUGGUACGGCAACCGGCAGGAGCCAUAGGGUUGUCUUUAUACUAACAUAUGUGCUUGCAGAUGCGUUUACUAUUUUGCUAGGAUGUAGCUUUAGUAGUGAUAGCAUAAGUAGCACGACAACCCCGAUGGCGACACGUUGAUGGAGAUCAUGAUGAUGGAGAUCAUGGUGUGGCGCCGGUGACAAGAAGAUCGUGCCGGUGCUUUGGUGAUGGAGAUCAAGAAGCACGUGAUAAUGGCCAUAUCAUGUCACUUAUGAAUUGCACGUGAUGUUAAUCCUUUAAUGCACCUUAUUUUGCUUAGAACGACGGUAGCAUUAUGAGGUGAUCUCUCACUAAAAUUUCAAGACGAAAUUGUGUUCUCCCCGACUGUGCACCGUUGCUACAGUUCGUCGUUUCGAGACACCACGUGAUGAUCGGGUGUGAUAGACUCAACGUUCACAUACAACGGGUGCAAAACAGUUGCGCACGCGGAACACUCGGGUUAAGCUUGACGAGCCUAGCAUGUGCAUACAUGGCCUCGGAACACAUGAGACCGAAAGGUCGAUCAUGAAUCAUAUAGUUGAUAUGAUUAGCAUAGGGAUGCUUACCACUGAAACUACUCCCGACUCACGUGAUGAUCGGACUUGGGAUAGUGUAGGUGGAUCAUGAACCACUCAAAUGACUAGAGAGAUGUACUUUUUGAGUGGGAGUUUAGCAUGUAAUUUGAUUAAGUUGAACUCUAAUUAUCUUGAACAUAGUCUAAGUCCACUUUGAAUAUAUUUGUGUUGUAGAUCAUGGCUCACGCAAGUGUCAUCCUCAAUUUUAAUACGUUCCUAGAGAAAGCUAAGUUGAAAGAUGAUGGAAGCAACUUUGUAGACUGGGCUCGUAAUCUUAGGCUAAUCUUACAAGCUGGAAAGAAGGAUUAUGUCCUUAAUGCUGCGCUAGGAGAUGAACCACCCGCUACGGCUGAUCAGGAUGUUAAGAACGCCUGGUUAGCACGUAAGGAGGACUACUCAAUAGUUCAAUGUGCAGUCUUGUAUGGCUUAGAGCCGGGACUUCAACGUCGCUUUGAGCGUCAUGGAGCAUUUGAGAUGUUCCAGGAGUUGAAGUUUAUCUUUCAGAAGAACGCCCGGAUCGAGAGGUAUGAGACCUCCGAUAAAUUCUAUGCUUGCAAGAUGGAGGAAAGCUCGUCUGUCAGUGAACAUGUGCUCAAGAUGUCUGGGUACUCAAACCGUCUAGCUGAACUAGGGAUUGAACUCCCACAAGAAGCUAUCACUGACAGAAUCCUCCAAUCACUGCCGUCAAGCUAUAAAGGCUUUGUGUUGAACUACAACAUGCAAGGGAUGAACAAGUCUCCCGGCGAGUUGUUUGCGAUGCUGAAAGUCGCACAGUCUGAACUCCGUAAAGAGCAUCAAGUGUUGAUGGUGAGCAAGACCACUAGUUUCAAGAGAAACGGCAAAGGCAAGAAGGGCAAUUCGAAGAAGAGCGGCAAGCCUGUUGCCAAUCCGCCGAAGAAACCCAAGGAUGGACCUAAGCCUGAAACAGAGUGCUUCUAUUGCUGGGGUAUGGGUCACUGGAAGCGCAAUUGCCCCAAGUAUCUGGCAGAUAAGAAGGCGGGCAAAGAAAAAUCAGGUAUAUUUGAUAUACAUGUUAUUGAUGUGUACUUAACCGGCUCUCGUAGUAGUGCCUGGGUAUUCGAUACCGGUUCUGUUGCUCACAUUUGCAACUCGAAACAGGAACUGCGGAAUAGACGGAGGCUGGCGAAAGACGAAGUAACGAUGCGCGUAGGAAACGGUUCCAAGGUUGAGGCAAUCGCCGUCGGCACCGUGUCACUUCAACUACCAUCGGGAUUAGUGAUGAACUUAAAUCAUUGUUAUUUAGUGCCUGCGUUGAGCAUGAACAUUAUAUCUGGAUCUUGUUUAUUGCGAGACGGUUACUCUUUUAAGUCUGAGAAUAAUGGUUGUUCUAUUUCUAUGAGUAACAUCUUUUAUGGUCAUGCACCGAAUGCGAGAGGAUUGUUCAUAUUGAAUCUUGAUAGAGAUACACAUAUACAUAACAUUGAGACCAAAAGAGUUAGAGUAAACAAUGAUAGCACCAUAUUUUUGUGGCACUGCCGCUUGGGUCAUAUUGGUGUAAAGCGCAUGAAGAAACUCCAUGCUGAUGGACUUUUGGAGUCACUUGACUUUGAUUCACUUGACACGUGCGAACCAUGCCUCAUGGGCAAGAUGACUAAGACUCCGUUCUCCGGAACAAUGGAGCGUGCAAGUGACUUGUUGGAAAUCGUACAUACCGAUGUGUGUGGUCCAAUGAGCGUGGAGGCACGCGGCGGAUAUCGUUAUUUUCUCACCUUCACUGACGAUCUAAGUAGAUAUGGUUAUGUCUACUUGAUGAAGCACAAGUCUGAAACAUUUGAAAAGUUCAAGCAAUUUCAGAGUGAAGUGGAAAAUCAUCGUAACAAGAAGAUCAAGUUCCUACGGUCUGAUCGUGGGGGUGAGUAUCUAAGUUUCGAGUUUGGUACUCACUUAAGACAAUGUGGAAUUGUUUCGCAGUUAACACCGCCUGGAACACCACAGCGUAAUGGUGUGUCCGAACGUCGUAAUCGUACUUUGCUAGAGAUGGUGCGGUCUAUGAUGUCUCUUACUGAUUUGCCAUUAUCUUUUUGGGGUUAUGCAUUAGAAACAGCUGCAUUCACUUUAAAUAGGGCACCAUCAAAAUCCGUUGAGACGACACCAUACGAAAUGUGGUAUGGCAAAAGACCAAAGUUGUCGUUUCUUAAAGUUUGGGGAUGUGAUGCUUAUGUCAAAAAGCUUCAGCCUGAAAAGCUGGAACCCAAAGCGGAAAAAUGUGUCUUCAUAGGUUACCCAAAAGAGACAGUUGGGUACACCUUCUAUCUCAAAUCCGAAGGCAAAGUGUUUGUUGCUAAGAACGGAACUUUUCUCGAGAAGGAGUUUCUCUCGAGAGAAUUGAGUGGGAGGAAGAUAGAACUUGACGAGGUUGUCGAACCUCUCAUCCCUCUGGAUGGUGGCGCAGGGCAGGGGGAAACCUCUGUCAUUGCGACGCCGGUUGAGGAGGAAGUUAAUGAUGAUGAUCAUGAAACUCCAGUUCAAGUUUCUGUUGAACCACGCAGGUCGACGAGAUCACGCGCUGCUCCAGAGUGGUACGGUAAUCCCGUCUUGUCAAUCAUGUUGUUAGACAACAAUGAACCUGCAAAUUAUGAAGAAGCAAUGGUGGGGCCAGAUUCCAACAAAUGGCUGGAAGCCAUGAAAUCCGAGAUAGGAUCCAUGUAUGAGAACAAAGUGUGGACUUUGGAGAUACUACCUGAGGGCCGCAAGGCUAUUCGGAACAAAUGGAUCUUUAAGAAGAAGACGGACGCUGACGGUAAUGUGACCGUUUAUAAAGCUCGACUUGUGGCAAAGGGUUUUUCACAAGUUCCAGGAAUUGACUACGAUGAGACUUUCUCUCCCGUAGCGAUGCUUAAGUCCGUCAGAAUCAUGUUAGCAAUAGCUGCAUUUUUCGAUUAUGAAUUUUGGCAGAUGGAUGUCAAAACGGCGUUCCUUAACGGUUACCUUAAGGAAGAGUUGUAUAUGAUGCAACCCGAAGGUUUUGUCGAUCCUGAAAAUGCUGACAAGGUGUGCAAGCUCCAGCGAUCCAUUUAUGGACUGGUGCAAGCAUCUCGGAGUUGGAACAAACGCUUUGAUGAGGUGAUCAAAGCAUUUGGGUUUAUACAAGUGGUUGGAGAAUCUUGUAUUUACAAGAAAGUGAGUGGGAGCUCUGUGGCGUUUCUAAUACUGUAUGUGGAUGACAUAUUACUGAUUGGAAACAACGUAGAGCUUUUGGAGAGCAUAAAAGGUUACUUGAAUGAAAGUUUCUCUAUGAAGGACCUAGGAGAAGCUGCUUACAUUCUAGGCAUUAAGAUCUAUAGGGAUAGAUCAAAACGCCUGAUAGGGCUUUCACAAAGCACAUACCUUGAUAAAGUUUUGAAAAGGUUCAAAAUGGAACAGUCCAAGAAAGGGUUCUUGCCAGUGUUACAAGGUACGAGAUUGAGUAAGACUCAGUGCCCAGCAACUGAUGAAGAUAGAGAGCAUAUGCGCUCCGUCCCCUAUGCUUCAGCCAUAGGCUCUAUCAUGUAUGCAAUGUUGUGCACUAGACCGGAUGUUAGCCUGUCCAUAAGUAUGGCAGGUAGGUUCCAGAGUAAUCCAGGAGUGGAUCACUGGACGGCGGUCAAGAAUAUCCUGAAGUACCUGAAAAGGACUAAGGAGAUGUUUCUCGUGUAUGGAGGUGACGAAGAGCUCGCCGUAAAAGGUUACGUCGAUGCAAGCUUUGACACAGAUCCGGACGACUCUAAGUCGCAAACCGGAUACGUAUUUAUUCUUAAUGGGGGUGCAGUAAGCUGGUGCAGUUCCAAGCAAAGCGUCGUAGAAGAUUCUACAUGUGAAGCGGAGUACAUGGCUGCCUCGGAGGCGGCUAAGGAGGGUGUCUGGAUGAAGCAGUUCAUGACGGAUCUUGGAGUGGUGCCAAGUGCACUGGAUCCAAUAACCUUGUUCUGUGACAACACUGGUGCCAUUGCCUUAGCAAAGGAACCAAGGUUUCACAAGAAGACCAGACACAUCAAACGACGCUUCAACCUCAUCCGCGACUACGUCGAGGAGGAGGACGUAAAUAUAUGCAAAGUGCACACGGAUCUGAAUGUAGCAGACCCGCUGACUAAGCCUCUUCCACGGCCAAAACAUGAUCGACACCAGAACUGUAUGGGUGUUAGAUUUAUUACAAUGUAAUUCACAUGGUGAUGUGAGGGCUAGAUUAUUGACUCUAGUGCAAGUGGGAGACUGUUGGAAUUAUGCCCUAGAGGCAAUAAUAAAUGUAUAGUUAUUAUUAUAAUUCCUGUAUCAAGAUAAUAGUUUAUUAUCCAUGCUAUAAUUGUAUUGAAUGAAGACUCAUUUACAUGUGUGGAUACAUAGACAAAACACCGUCCCUAGCAUGCCUCUAGUUGGCUAGCCAGUUGAUCGAUGAUAGUCAGUGUCUUCUGAUUAUGAACAAGGUGUUGUUGCUUGAUAACUGGAUCACGUCAUUGGGAGAAUCACGUGAUGGACUAGACCCAAACUAAUAGACGUAGCAUGUUGAUCGUGUCAUUUUGUUGCUACUGUUUUCUGCGUGUCAAGUAUUUAUUCCUAUGACCAUGAGAUCAUAUAACUCACUGACACCGGAGGAAUGCUUUGUGUGUAUCAAACGUCGCAACGUAACUGGGUGACUAUAAAGAUGCUCUACAGGUAUCUCCGAAGGUGUUAGUUGAGUUNNNNNNNNNNNNNNNNNNNNNNNNNNNNNUAUAGUUAUUAUUAUAAUUCCUGUAUCAAGAUAAUCGUUUAUUAUCCAUGCUAUAAUUGUAUUGAAUGAAGACUCAUUUACAUGUGUGGAUACAUAGACAAAACACUGUCCCUAGCAAGCCUCUAGUUGGCUAGCCAGUUGAUCAAAGAUAGUCAGUGUCUUCUGAUUAUGAACAAGGUGUUGUUGCUUGAUAACUGGAUCACGUCAUUAGGAGAAUCACGUGAUGGACUAGACCCAAACUAAUAGACGUAGCAUGUUGAUCGUGUCAUUUUGUUGCUACUGUUUUCUGCGUGUCAAGUAUUUUUUCCUAUGACCAUGAGAUCAUAUAACUCACUUACACCGGAGGAAUUCUUUGUGUGUAUCAAACGUCGCAACGUAACUGGGUGACUAUAAAGAUGCUCUACAGGUAUCUCCGAAGGUGUUAGUUGAGUUAGUAUGGAUCAAGACUGGGAUUUCUCACUCCGUGUGAUGGAGAGGUAUCUCGGGGCCCACUCGCUAAUACAACAUCACACACAAGCCUUGCAAGCAAUGUGACUUAGUGUAAGUUAUGGGAUCUUGUAUUAUGGAACGAGUAAAGAGACUUGCCGGUAAACGAGAUUGAAAUAGGUAUGCGGAUACUGACGAUCGAAUCUCGGGCAAGUAACAUACCGAAGGACAAAGGGAAUGACAUACGGGAUUAUAUGAAUCCUUGGCACUGAGGUUCAAACGAUAAGAUCUUCGUAGAAUAUGUAGGAUCCAAUAUGGGCAUCCAGGCCCCGCUAUUGAAUAUUGACCGAGGAGUCUCUCGGGUCAUGUCUACAUAGUUCUCGAACCCGCAGGGUCUGCACACUUAAGGUUCGACGUUGUUUUAUGCGUAUUUGAGUUAUAUGGUUGGUUACCGAAUGUUGUUCGGAGUCCCGGAUGAGAUCACAGACGUCACGAGGGUUUCCAGAAUGGUUCGAAAACGAAAAUUGAUAUAUAGGAUGACCUCAUUUGAUUACCGAAGGUUUUCGGAGUUACCGGGAAUGUACCGGGAAUGACGAAUGGGUUCCGGGAGUUCACCGGGGGGGGGGGGAACCCCCCCGGGGAAGCCCAUAGGCCUUGAGGGUGGCACACCAGCCCUUAGUGGGCUGGUGGGACAGCCCAAAAGGGCCCUAUGCGCAUUGGAAGAAAAAUCAAAGAGAAAAGAAAAAAAAGGAGGAGGUGGGAAGGGAAGGAAGGACUCCCACCCACCAAACCAAGUCCAACUCGGUUUGGGGGGGAGACCUUCCCCCCUUGGCUCGGCCGACCCCCUUGGGGCUCCUUGAGCCCCAAGGCAAGGUCCCCCCUCUCCCACCUAUAUAUACAGAGGUUUUAGGGCUGAUUUGAGACGACUUUUCCACGACAGCCCGACCACAUACCUUCAUGGUUUUUCCUCUAGAUCGCGUUUCUGCGGAGCUCGGGCGGAGCCCUGCUGAGACAAGGUCAUCACCAACCUCCGGAGCGCCGUCACGCUGCCGGAGAACUCUUCUACCUCUCCGUCUCUCUUGCUGGAUCAAGAAGGCCGAGAUCAUCGUCAAGCUGUACGUGUGCUGAACGCGGAGGUGCCGUCCGUUCGGUACUAGAUCGUGGGACUGAUCGCGGGAUUGUUCGUGGGGCGGAUCGAGGGACGUGAGGACGUUCCACUACAUCAACCGCGUUCACUAACGCUUCUGCUGUACGGUCUACAAGGGUACGUAGAUCACUCAUCCCCUCUCGUAGAUGGACAUCACCAUGAUAGGUCUUCGUGCGCGUAGGAAAUUUUUUGUUUCCCAUGCGACAUAACCCAACAGUGCAUGUACAGAAGGAGUAGACGUUGGUUCGGAGGUCCUGCACCGAGCAGUGGUCCAGUCCUCGGAGGACGAGACGGCGGUGCUGAAGUGGGCGAGGCGGCCAAACUGGCGUGAGGCCGCGCGUCCUACCGAAGGGGAGGUCGGCGUAGUAGACGGGUGCACAACUCCGGCGCGGGGCGUCGACAGGGACCUCCAUGAAGACGAAGACAAGGAGGUAGUAGUCGCGGGUGAGCAUCGGCGUGACGGUGUCCCAGAGGAGCAGCGGCAUCGGGCGGCGAGUCGUCGACCGGCUGCCGGUAGGAGGCGGACAGGGGAGAGAAGCGAGGCGUUGACGACGAGCAAAAGGGCCUAACUUCGCAGCCAACUGAUUCGCCGUAGGUGGCUAGGCGCACGUCGUGGCUGCCGGAACCUAGUGGGUUCGGCAGCUGAGUUUUUCACUUCCCAAAAUACACUCACCACUCGUAUACCGGAGGACAGAGCGAUGCGGUGCAAGCCAUACCGCGUGCAAUUCCACUAGCGAAAUUGGAGCAGUACAUAUCGCUCCCCACCAUUAGAUUUCAUAAAUGAACGACCCAUAUUUCUCCUAUGGUACCAUAAAAGAGCUCUUAAAAAAAGAAAAGAACUCGUUCCGCUCGUCUAUCCGCGGCGCGUUACGACCGAGAGAAGAAGCCGAAGCCACAGCUGCAGGAACGCCUGCUCUUCGGGACGCCACGGUCCACGUUUCUUCUUCCUGGGUCGUCGUCUCCCGAGCCACCGCCACCGCCCCCGCNNNNNNNNNNNNNNNNNNNNNNNNNNNNNNNNNNNNNNNNNNNNNNNNNNNNNNNNNNNNNNNNNNNNNNNNNNNNNNNNNNNNNNNNNNNNNNNNNNNNNNNNNNNNNNNNNNNNNNNNNNNNNNNNNNNNNNNNNNNNNNNNNNNNNNNNNNNNNNNNNNNNNNNNNNNNNNNNNNNNNNNNNNNNNNNNNNNNNNNNNNNNNNNNNNNNNNNNNNNNNNNNNNNNNNNNNNNNNNNNNNNNNNNNNNNNNNNNNNNNNNNNNNNNNNNNNNNNNNNNNNNNNNNNNNNNNNNNNNNNNNNNNNNNNNNNNNNNNNNNNNNNNNNNNNNNNNNNNNNNNNNNNNNNNNNNNNNNNNNNNNNNNNNNNNNNNNNNNNNNNNNNNNNNNNNNNNNNNNNNNNNNNNNNNNNNNNNNNNNNNNNNGUCGCCCCACACUCACCCACGGUGGUGGAGGAGCCUUCCGAGCCCCGUCGCCGCCUCUGCCCCCUCCCCCCGUUCCUUCACCUGNNNNNNNNNNNNNNNNNNNNNNNNNNNNNNNNNNNNNNNNNNNNNNNNNNNNNNNNNNNNNNNNNNNNNNNNNNNNNNNNNNNNNNNNNNNNNNNNNNNNUUUCCUUUUUCUUCUUUGACAUGGUUUUUUAUGUUUAUGUUUUUAUUUUUGUUUGAUGUUUUUUUUUCUCCAUUUUUCGUUUGAUUUCAUUUGUUUCUUCAUUUUCUUUUNNNNNNNNNNNNNNNNNNNNNNNNNNNNNNNNNNNNNAUUUUAUUUGUUUUACUUCAUUUCUUUAUGUUUGUUGCUCUACAUUCCUAUACACAUGGUCAACAUGUUUUCAAAUAAUUGUUCAACAUUUUUUACACAAUUGUUUAAUAAAUUUAAAUUACAUCUUCAACAUUUUUAUAUACAUGAUCAAAAUGUUUUCAAGUAUUUGUUCAAUAUUUUUGAAAUACUUGGACGAAAAUUUUCAAAUACUUCUUCAACAUUUCUAUAUACAUGGUCAACAUUUUCAAAAUAAUUGUUCAACAUUUUUCAAAUACUUGAUCAAAAUUUAUAUAUAUAUAUAUGAUCAAUAAUUUUUUAAAUAUUUGUUCAACAUUUUUCAAAUAGUUGUUCUACAUUUUUCAAAUAGUUGUUCAACAUUUUUAAAUACUUAUGCAACAAGUUUGAAAUGUUUUUUGAAGAUUUUUUGUUCUACUAUAUAUAUUUAGAAUAUUUUAAAAUAUAAUCAAAACUAUAGAAAUAAAAUCAAAAAGGGAAAACUGAAAACGUAAAUAAAUAUAGGAAAAAGAGGUUGUGGCCUCCCACACUCGUCGUCAGCCCAGCUAGCUCGCCCCUUCAGCGAGUCAGAAGCCAGACUCGGUGAAGGCAAGACAUAGACGUUCCUGGCACCAUAGGCCUAAAACUGAACUCACAAACUUAGCUCGGUUUUCUAGGAUAGAUGAGUGGCAUUCUAACCAAAAUUAUCGGUUUCAGUGUAUUUCAUUUGAAUUUAGGUUCUUUCAGUUGGCUACUUGUGCCGUCGGUUAAAUUGUCGCACCCCUAUGGAUGUUGACAUCAUGUAUGAGCUCAUUUGAUACUCUCUCAAACGGUCACUCCGUCUGACAGCUUGGCCAGUUAGACAUGACUGAAUGCUUGGGGAGCCACUUGUGGCCUCAGGACAAUGCAUAAUGCUGUUGUACCAUGGUUACAUCUCGAUUAGGUAAAAAAAAUGGUUACACCUUGAUUUUUAGUGAGAUCUUUCAUGCCAACCAGAGUGAUUACUCCCUUGAAUGGAACACGUGGUGGUUAGAGUACCAUACAAUCUCCCCCACUCCGCCUAUAAAAGGUUAGGCAAAGCAACGUAGGGGGAAAACAUCCUCUGAUUGUUCACAUUCUCAUCUUUCUCCUUUGGGCUACCAUUACCAAAGGAGCAAAAGCUUCAAUCUCACCAAAUUUUAGCGCUCGAGAAUUAAAUCACACUUACAAGUGAAACAAAAUUUUAGUCCAACUAAAACAAAUUUUAGGACAUAUGGAACAAAUCAUAACUUCCAUCCGUAUAGAAAUAUGGGCCAAUUGGAACAAAAUCUUAGUCCACUGAAACAAAUAAUAUAUGCAAAAACACAAUACUAGGACCAUAUUUUUAGAGUAUGUGAAAUAAAUCAAGAUUACAAAAGGAACAAAAAGUUUAGAUCAAGCAGAGCAAAUUUUUAUCACAUGAGAAAUAAAUCAUGAUUGCGCAAAACAAUUUUGGACUAAGUGAAACAAAUUUUUAGCAAUUAUGGAACAAACCACAACUAUAGACGGGACAAAUUUUUGGACUAAAAGAAACAAUGAUUUUGCCUAAACGGAAGAGAAAUCAUGAAAUCUUACAAAACCAUACAAAGAAAAAUGAAAAAUAACAAAAAAUAUAAAAAGGAAAUAAUAAUAAAAUAGUUGAACACGAAAACAAAAAUAAUGGCAGAAAAAAGAACGAAAAAGUACAGGGAUGAGGUGAGAGUAGAGGGAAGGGCGGGAGCCAACCUAGGAAGGAACAUGAGCUAACCAUAUGUUAUUUUUGUCCAAGCAUACUUCCAAAGAGCGAUUUUUCUUGUUAGGAGUCACUAGGGCGACACCGAGCAUUUCAGUGGAAGAGGGACUGUUUUAAGACCUAAUGUUUCUUUGUUGGGUUCUAAUGGGCUUUCUUUGGGACGGAUCUUAUGGGGCCUAGCCAGAUGCAUUUUGAUAUUUCAUUUGAGCAAAGGAGUGUCUUGCGAUAGAAGAAGAGAAGAGGUGAAAAUAGACAAACUGACCCAAACUUGAUUUUUUCCGCAUGUAAAAGGAAAAGCAUCAGCUGGGGCACCAUGAUUAUUGCAUGGCAUCAUGAAAUACCUAUGUGGAAUUCCUAAAAUUUCAUGUGCUUUAGUAAACAUAUUAUAUAUUCUAUGAUUUCUAGAUCUAUCCAUAGGGAUCGAUUAAGAAUGAGCAAGUUUCUUUGUGAGCAAUAUCGUGGGCACUCUGACAUAUUUGUUCUGUUUGCUUACAACAGUGUAUAAUUUGCACUAUGCAUAGACUGAAAUUCCAAAAUUGUUUGCAUGACACAACACAAUAAUAUAAUGUUACUACUCACUAUUUUACAGUAUACUGUAGUUCAUAACGGAGAUGGUUACGGCAGUGGUGCUCAUUGUUAUUGGUAAGUAGAAAUAAAAAGAAGAGCGCAAAAAGGGAAAAAAGGAUAAUGACAAAUAUAUUGUUUAGACAACAUAUCAACACAUUUAGAAGAAAACUAGUGAGCUAUCACGGAUUCAUAUACUGGUUUAUAGCCCAUAUAUUUUCUGAUAAACCAACUGAUCUCCACCAAAAAUACCUCUAAAUGGAUUAUAUGAGAAGACAACCUAGUAAGGUCUAAGGGGGUCACAUUUUCUGAUAAUCCUACGGAUCUCCUUCCAAAUAUCUGCGAAAAAGUUCAGGACUAGGGCACUAGGCGACAUGAUCUAAGGUGCUAGGUUGCAAAUGAUCAACAAAUUAAAUGAUCACAUAUCAACUACGGAUCCACACUCUGAAGCUAGCAAAACUUGAUUGCGUUCAUCCACAUAUAAUAUAUAUAUUGAAAAACAGCAGUACAUUGCACUAAUCAGGCGAUCCGAUUUUGCUUGCCAAUUGACAUCACAUACCCUUGGUUCUAAGAGAAGAGCUUGAUAUACUCAACGCACGCAUCUCUGAGCUUGCUGCAAUGAUGUUGUUCAGCUAUAGCCAAUGUGGCCAAGACGCUCUUGGCAUCGAGACUCUUGAUCAAAAUGCUCUCGCACAUCAGCUUCAUCCUUUCCAUGGCAUACCUGUCUGCAGCCACGAGCAAGAGCUUAAUCAUCUCCUUGUUGUCAUAGUUGUCAUUUACAUAUAUGGCGGGCAGUGAAUCUGUAUAGAUGAAGUGCAGCAAGGCUCUGAAAACAGCCGGCUGCAUGUCUUCAAUCUGCAGGCAAGAUUUCUCGCUUUUCCCCAUUGGCCCAUAGAGCUCCGCAUCGAAGGCCGGAGACCGCAACGCAAGCACGAUCUUAUGCGCAUGGAAGGUCUCCCCGUUGACCUUGAUCAUCACGUCUGCUCCUUUGUUCGCCUCCAGAAGUUUUGCCAGAUUCUCCAACAAGUCGGACGGCGGCACCUCGAUUUCCGGCGUCUUGGUGGCGAUUGCCAUGGCAGGUAUUUCUUUGAGGAGAACGGUCAAGUCACACUGGAUCAAGAGGCAAUCAUCCUGCACGUAUGGGGAUGCCUCCAGGACGUCAGUCUUCAUGAACUUGGAAACCCCCCUGAGAUGUUCGUUCCUGCCUGAGUCGAACGCCGGGAAGGAGGACGGCCGGGAGAUAACCAAUGACGACAACCCGGUGCCCCAGUCAGUCAGCCUCAGGUCGUACAGCGCCCUCACCGUGGAUUUCUUGCUCUGGAGCUCAACGAAGACUGAUACAUAGUCGUUGGUGUCCGCACUGAAUCCAUCGGGGUAGUAACGAAGGCACCAAUCAUAACCGCCGACGGCGAAGGUGGCUGAUCGUACGAAUUUACCGAUGCCGAGGCCCUUGUGCAGCCUGUAGCCGGCGAUCGUCAAAACGUGCGUUCCACGCGCCGUAGCCGGGAUGGACGCGGAGGCCGUGACCUUCGUACUCGGCCUCUGUGGUGCUGCCAUUGCCGGUGCUUGUGCCGACGGAAAACUACGGCGGCGGCGAAUAGGGUUUUGGUCAGCGACUUGUGCUCGGCUGGACCUCUCCUCUGUUUUGCCCUCUAUCUCCUCUACUCUGGGCUAGCCGGCCCUCGAUCGCGGGAGGCCACAGCCUCUUUUUUCUGAUUUUUACGUUUUACGUUUUUUGUUUAUAUAUUAAAAUAUUUUAAACACAUACUCUUACUUUUUAAAAUUCUUGUCUUAGAUUUGUGUAAGUAUGAAUGUAUCUAGUCAAAUUUUAGUAUUAAGAUACAUUCAUUUCUAAACAACCUAAGACAAAAAUUUUGAGACGGAGAGAGUAUAUUAAAAAAGUUUUCUUUAAAAAAAUUCAAUUUUCUGAACAAGUAUUUAAAAAUGUUAAACAAGUAUAUAAACAAAUGUUGAACAAGUAUUUUAUUAUUUAUUAUGUCUAUAAAAAUAUUAAUAAAGUAUAUAAAAAUGUGAAUAAGUAUUUAAAAAUUAUUGAUCAUGUUUAUACAAUGUUGAACAAGUGUUCUAAAAAAAUUGACUCUGUAUAUACCAAUGUAGAAUGAAAAAUAAAAGGUAACACACAAAACGGAAAUAAAUGAAAACNNNNNNNNNNNNNNNNNNNNAAAAAAAAUAAACCUAAGGAAAAGGAAAAUGAAAUAAACUAAAAAACAAAUAAAAAAUACCAGAGAUGAAAAAACACAAAAGAAUAGAAAAAACAAAAGAAGCAAGAAAAACCAGCUUCACUCGCUUCAAGUAGGACGCACCCCCUUCACCUAACGCUAACAGUAGCACGACGUGGUGGCUACGCUCGCUUGCUUCUUCCUCCUCCCUCCCCUUCUUCCUUUAACUGAGCGUGAAGUGGGCUGUCCCAAAUACUGUGCCGCAUUCAGCGAGAGAUCCUUCUAUCUCGCUGAAGGCGAUAAAUACUCGCCGUGGUAUCGAAGGUCUGGCUAUUUUUGUUUAAAAAUGUAUUCUUGCCCCAAUUUUCUUUGAAAACGUACCCUUGUGAAAAAUCUAUUUUUUUCUUCCUUGCUUCCCAUGAUGACGUAGUUUCUUGAUCCAAAAUCACUCUAGCUCGACACAAACUUCUCAGUCCAAACUCCUUCACCCAUCUUGACACAACGCACUCGACACAAUGCCGAUCCACAAAGUCUCAUGUUGUGCCUGUCUUCUUCAUGUGAGGAUGAGCCUAGUAAACCGGCAAAUGACACAUAUUAUGGUUACAUAGAGGAGAUAUAGGAAAUUCACUGUAGGCGUGAUGAUUUUAAGGUCCUUUUUUAUCGGUGCAAAUGGGUCAAUCUAACAGGAGGCGGGGUACAGGUAGACCCGUAGUACGGAAUGACAACACUGGAUCUCAACAAUCUCGGGUACGUAGACGAACCAUUCAUCUUAAUCAAUGAUGUGGCGUAGGUUUUCUAUGUGAAGGACAUGUCUACCAAACCGAAAAAAAGAUAAGAUAAGAAAACGAAUACAACACUGGAUCUCAACAAUCUCGGGUACGUAGACGAACCAUUCAUCUUAACCAAUGAUGUGGCGUAGGUUUUCUAUGUGAAGGACAUGUCUACCAAACCGAGAAAAAGAUAAGAUAAGAAAACGAAUACAUUAUAUGAUGAGCCAAAGCGCCAAAUAGUUCUUUCAGGGAAAAGAAACAUCGUGAGAGUGAAGGACAAGACAGACAUGUCAGAAGAUUAUGAAAAGGUUCAUGUAAUUCCUUCCUUCAUAGUGAAGACUGACUCAAGCAUCAUGUUAAAUGUGAACAUUUUCCAUGGUUACGACGCAAUAAGCAAUGUACACACGCAAAGAAAUAGUUUUAUACACCAAGAUCCCACUCUGGGAUGUGACCGGCUUCACCGCCAUCGCUUUCUCUCUAGUGUGAGUUUUCGGACUUAUAGCUGGAAGUGCCACUUCAGACAAACCGGAGGGAAUCUUUGCUAGGAUAUUUUGGCAUUUGAAACAUGAUUUUAGAAUAAUUAUUUAGUAAGUUAUGAAUUGUCAAUUAUUCAUGUCCUUUUAGUAUUAUAAUUAUACAGAGGAGUUAAUCAAUGUAAUUAUGUCCAAACAAAAUAUGAAUGUCUUCUGAGCAUUCUCUUCUAGAUAUGCCGCUUGAGGUCGACAUGCAUAGUUCAUACACCCACACUAGUUGGAGAUCUUUAUAGAGUAGCAGAGUAGCUGAGAUAGGGGCGACACUAGGAAGAACACGGGUUUGCCUACUCGGUUGUUUUGGUAUAUCUCAUUAAAAGGGGGAAGUUGAUGAUAUGUUGAGGGCUGAGAAAUCGGAAAAUCUUAUGAGAAUAGUCUAUUGUUUUGGUAUAUCUCAUGAAUAUCCAUGCACCUUUAUAUUACCUUACAUUAGGAGUACAAACCCACACCAUUAGUAAUGUUGGGUUAUACCCAAAGGGCUUUAGAUUCCGGAAGGAAGAUUGUGGCAGCAUUGAUCGCCUUGUGUCAUAUUUUCAAAAACAUAUUGACAAACCACUGCGGCAAUGGUACCUACGAAAAAUAACUUGAUAUAUAGAACUAUUUGUCACUCUCUGACCCCCCCCCCCCCCCCUCAAACAUUGCAUUCAUAUAAGCAUUCACUCUAGCAAGUAUUCCAGCAAUCAAAAUACAAUCAAUGAAUAAAGCAAUAAAGAAAAAAAGGUUAUUAGGUUAAUAAAAAGUAUUUUAUAAUAUUCUUCAAUAACAGAAUGAAUCAAAUGAGAAAGCUUUUAUAAAACACUAGUUAUGAUCAGAAUAAUAUUAACCUAAAAUUAUAUAAAAUUUAUCCAACUAAAAUUUUCAUAAAUUAUUUUUUUCUUAAAAACUUUAAUACCAAAUAGAAAUAAAUGAAAACUAGGCAUGUAUGCAUCUGUUUAAAAGAAAAAUAAAACUAAAAUAUCCUAAAAAGGUUUUAAACCAAAAAUAGGAAAAAGGGAUUUAGUCUCUAUUGAUGGCUAGAACCGGGAAUAAAGGCCAACCUUUAGUCCCGAUCAGAGCCACCAACCGGGACUAAAGCCCUCGGUUUCGCGCCCAUUGGGCUGCUAAAAUUUAGCUUUAGUCCCGGUUGGUGACUCCGUCCAGGACUAACGGUAGGCCUUCGUCCUGGUUGUGGCCAUCAACCGGGACUAAAGACCGGGGGUACUUAACCGUGCCUUCUCCCCUCACCCAAUCUUCCUCUCCACUCUCGCCCCCGAUGUCGUGCCGAACCCCACACCAUGACGGCGCCAGGCUGUCGGAGAUCAUCGUCGCCUCUGAGUCGUCCUCGAGCCCCCUGACCGUCGCUGGACCUCCUCGCCCCCCUUCCCGAGCAUCGUCGACCCUGCUCCUCGUUGACGUGACCUCCUUUCUCCCAACCCCUCUCCCCCGUUGGCCACCGUGGGCCGAAGCUCGCCGACCAUGCUGUUCCCCGCUUAUCCUAUCCCCCACCCCUCCCCCGGUCAUCGCCUCCCACACCGUUACCGACGCCGACGCCAACACCGCCCGCCUCUCCCACUGCCCGUGUACAUAUUCGGAUGUGUUCGUGAAUAUUUGAUGCCGCUCAUUUGAUUGUCCAUGUUGGAGUUGCUCUUAAGUUUUUCCAAUGAUCGAGUUAGUGAUUUAAAUCGUAUUGGAAUUUCUCUUAGGUUUUUCUCAUUAGAUUAUUAACAACGGUUCGGAUGAGAAGGCAAUGGACAAGAGAAUGCAACAAUUGUCUAGCUUUUUUUAUCAUGUAUAUUUAAAAUGCAAAUGAUAUUCCUAAAAAACGUAUAUGAAGCCACCAACGCUCAGGCCGCUACGACACCGGAAUUGUUGGCGUAGUUGCACGAAAUGUGUUUUGCAUGUUAAUUAAGAGAACUAGCUGUAAUUUAGUGUGAUCACCUAUUUAGGUAUACUAGAUGGUAACCUGCACAUCGUUGCAGAAUUGUUUUUUAAUACAUUUCAAUGCGAUUUGAUUAUUUAUAGUUGUAAAACAUCUAGCACAAUAGAAUUAAAAUUCUUUUGCAUGUUUUAGUUUAAAAAACCAAAAUUCAAAAUUUUUAGUUUUGAAAAAAUCUCAAAAAAGAAAUUCUACAAGUAACCAAGGAUGUCUUUAUCUAAAGGCAACGAUGCAUGUCCCGCAUCCUCGUCAUCAAGACGACGACAACAACCAGUUGGAGAGGUGGCAUAUUCGGGAUUGGGCUCCGGGGCACGUAGCUUAAUGAGGAAUUCGGGUCUCGUUGUUGGCCCAGAGCUUCUUUGGUGGCGGUCACGUGGGUCACCAUCGGUGCGGAGGUAGCGGGCUCUCGAUGAGGUGGUACGUCACCGUGUCAGGGAGGAGGACGAGCACGUCCGUCGCUACAUGAUUGCGUUGGACGCCAUGUUCUUCAAUACCUAACGGAAUCACCGGGGAUCUCACGAGAGCAAUGAUCUUGUGAUGGUUCCUUCUCCUUGAGUGCCCAUCAUCCGCGGCUCAGGAACCGCGAGUCAACUGGAUUUUUCAAUAAUAUUCGAGCUGUAUUAGUGAUAUUAUAUGAUAAUAUUCGAGAUGUAUUGGUGAUAAUAUUCGAUAAUACAUUAACUCAAUUAUUCGAGAUAUAUUAAUGAUAUUAUAUGAUAAUAUUAUAUGAAGGGUCCACAAUGAUCACCGAUGAUAUUAUAUGUAUUACUGAUAUUAUAUGAUAAUCUUGCUAAAAAAAUUAAUCCUCCUCGUCAUCCCUCGCCCCCUCACAUCAAACCUCGCCGGCGGCUGACUACUAAGGUUCAAUUUUUUGCAUUAAAUACUAGAAUCAUGAACAUAGGAAAUGUUGUCGUCCGAUGGUGAUAGGAUCCCUGAGUGCCAUUUAUGCUAGGAUGACAGGGGUAUAUGNNNNNNNNNNNNNNNNNNNNNNNNNNNNNNNNNNNNNNNNNNNNNNNNNNNNNNNNNNNNNNNNNNNNNNNNNNNNNNNNNNNNNNNNNNNNNNNNNNNNAAUGUUCGUAUCUUUAUAACCGUAAGUCGGAACGAGGCGUAUCUUAUAUGGGUUUGGGGUAGUUUUGCGAGUAGAACCCGAUUAUAAGACUUGCAUAAUUAUUUGAGGUCAUUUAGCGUGUCGUAUGCCUAGGUUUGCGUGCUGUCCUAAUAGGUUUCGAACCGUAUCCAUUUUUCGUGCAAGUUCGGAUUGCUCGAGUGCUGUAUUAGAAAUGCCUUUGUUUUAGGAACUAUUUUUCCGUGUAUUUUAGAGCGGUCACUCGUAUUUUUGCGUGUAGGAUUUGCCGCUAGUUUAUUUUCCCGUAUAUAGGUGAUUAUAUCGCAUUUAUGUGUGGCAUUAUUUUGUGUUGCAAACCCCACAUAUUUUAUAUAUUCCCGGGGUAGAAAAAUUCAUUGGAUUUUUCUGUGCAAUUAGUUUUAGCUUUUAAGGAAGUUAGUUCGCGCGAUAUUUUGCCGUGUUGCCCUUUUGUUUAAUUCGUAGGAUUUAUUCCGUGCCUCGUUUGAAUUAGUUGUCAACUAGGGAGUUGUUCUUUGAUGUUUUGUCUAGCCCCUGGUAUUUUUAGUUGCAAUAGAAAUACAUGUUUAGGUGUGUUUUGAUUGCCCUCAAGUUGCUAGAAAUAGUGCUGUUUUAGAGGAGCUGAAAUAUUUCUAAGUCUGGAAUCUGUUAUAUUUUGUUGCUGUCUUGUCUUGCUUGCAUCUUGUGAUCUGUAGCUCUUUUGAGGUUGGUCCAAUGGAGUUAGUUGUACCCUUUGUGUUUCCCUAGCAUGCUGUAAAGUUUCAUGCUAUUUGGAGUCAUGUAGCUUAGGAUUUUGCUGCUGUCAAUAUUGCUUCAGAUCGAAAACUGCACUUUCAUGAGGUGCAAUUUUCACUAAGUCUGAAAUAGUGAGUGUGAUGCCAUUUUGUGACUUCUUUCCCUAGUGUUCCUUGCUGCCAUGCUAGUGGUUGUUAGUUGUUCGUAGUAGUGCUUCUUGCCCUCUUCCGUGCCAUGCCUUGCUUGAGCAUAUCGGAUUUGUGUAGCCGUAGUUGUGGGGCGUAGAAAAUACUAUGUGGCUGAUUUUGGCAGAUUGUAGUCAUUUCUUGUUUUGCUCGUAGUUUUUGAACCGUAGCUCCGAUUUGAUCGUGUCCUACAUGAAACUUACUUAGAAUCUCGUGUAGUUUCAUUUUAUCUUGCUGGUUGUAUGUUUUGAAGUGCUCGUAGCCAUCGUUGCACACAUAUUGCAUUCAUGCCAUCAUAUCUUGCGGUGCUUGUAUCUUUUGAUCUGUAGCUCCGUUGGAGAUGUUCUCUAAGUGUAGAUUGCUUGCCCUGACGCGUAGAAUCACGUGAACCUAUUUGUUUUUCUGUUUAACAACUAAUUAAAAGCAUUAGGCCAGAUCUGGACAGAAUCAUAAAUUAACUUGUGAGGUCGUUUCGGAGGUGCUAUAAGACAUUUCCGACCUCAUUUAAAAUGCCUAGAUAGGUAGUUUAAUUUCCGCUUCACCUCUUGCAUGUUUAAUCACAUUUAAUAUUGCCGUGUACCUAAUCGGGAUAGAACUAAAUAAAUAGACGUGGAGUAUCGUCAAUAUGCAACUCGUUGCAUAUUGAACUUCACUUAAUAUGUAGAGUUUGAUUGUGUGAUUGGUCAUGCCGUGACUUGCAUGUAUUCAGCUGCUCAUGCAUCAUAUGUGUUGUGCAUCGUGUGGUGAAUAUCGUGUGUUGAUGCUUGUUUCCGGUUUCCCCGUCUCGAUAGAGUUCCGCAAGCGUGUCGGAUGUGAGGACCCGUUCGACUACGUUGGUUCGUCUG